Molecule: ribosomal RNA, 445 nt
Filed under: uncultured bacterium
Lineage: Bacteria
Description: partial 16S ribosomal RNA
Rfam family: Bacterial small subunit ribosomal RNA
Source: RNAcentral
GUGAGGAAUAUUGCGCAAUGGAGGCAACUCUGACGCAGCCAUGCCGCGUGCAGGAAGAAGGCGCUACGCGUUGUAAACUGCUUUUAACCGGGAAGAAACCCCAGGACGUGUCCUGGGUUGACGGUACCGGAGGAAUAAGCACCGGCUAACUUCGUGCCAGCAGCCGCGGUAAUACGAAGGGUGCAAGCGUUAUCCGGAUUCAUUGGGUUUAAAGGGUGCGUAGGUGGAGCGUUAAGUCAGUGGUGAAAUCCUGCAGCUUAACUGUAGACUUGCCAUUGAUACUGGCGCUCUUGAGUGCGCUUGAAGUGGGCGGAAUGUGCAGUGUAGCGGUGAAAUGCUUAGAUAUGGCACAGAACACCAAUUGCGAAGGCAGCUCACUAAGGCGAUACUGACGCUGAGGCACGAAAGCGUGGGGAUCGAACAGGAUUAGAUACCCUGGUAGUCC